AAAUUGCGAUAAUUAAUGCGAAUUGCAGACUUUGUGAAUCAUCGAGUUCUUGAACGCACCUUGCACCUAAUGGUUUAUUCCAUUAGGUACAGUUGUUUCAGUAUCACAAAACUCAACAGCCUAUUCAUUUGUUUGAAUACGAGUUGGAGAUGAGUCUUUUGGAUCUACCUGGCUUAGAACCAAAUGGCUUGAAAUCUAUCUACCAAAAAUCUUGGAUUUGCCAAGAGACUGGAUCAUAAUUUGGUUUUAAAUCUGGUCUUGAUAAUCUGAACUUUUGGUAUAAAACAAACCAAAACCAAAACCGUGAUCUGAAAUCAACUGAGACCACCCGCUGAACUUAA
RNAcentral lists this unclassified non-coding RNA (341 nucleotides) under uncultured Mucorales. RNAcentral's name for it is "sequence contains ITS1". The stretch from base 1 to 106 matches the Rfam family "5.8S ribosomal RNA", at positions 50 to 154 of the family's 154-position model. The record is from RNAcentral. Lineage: Eukaryota; Fungi; Mucoromycota; Mucoromycetes; Mucorales.